AGUGAACGCUGGCGGUAGGCCUAACACAUGCAAGUCGAACGGUAGCACAGUAAGAGCUUGCUCUUACGGGUGGCGAGUGGCGGACGGGUGAGGAAUACAUCGGAAUCUACUUUUUCGUGGGGGAUAACGUAGGGAAACUUACGCUCAUACCGCAUACGACCUACGGGUGAAAGCAGGGGAUCUUCGGACCUUGCGCGAUUGAAUGAGCCGAUGUCGGAUUAGCUAGUUGGCGGGGUAAAGGCCCACCAAGGCGACGAUCCGUAGCUGGUCUGAGAGGAUGAUCGGCCACACUGGAACUGAGACACGGUCCAGACUCCUACGGGAGGCAGCAGUGGGGAAUAUUGGACAAUGGGCGCAAGCCUGAUCCAGCCAUACCGCGUGGGUGAAGAAGGCCUUCGGGUUGUAAAGCCCUUUUGUUGGGAAAGAAAAGCAGCAGGUUAAUACCCCGCUGUUCUGACGGUACCCAAAGAAUAAGCACCGGCUAACUUCGUG
This 492-nucleotide ribosomal RNA is filed under the name uncultured bacterium. Its description in RNAcentral is "partial 16S ribosomal RNA". It matches the Rfam family "Bacterial small subunit ribosomal RNA", at positions 29 to 507 of the family's 1533-position model. The record is from RNAcentral.